UACCCGAACAGGCAGCCUCGUCGGGUGACGAGGACGCAAAGCCAGGGGCCUCCCCGCUGGAGGUUGCCCAGCCGCCGAA
This 79-nucleotide non-coding RNA is filed under the name Actinoplanes awajinensis. RNAcentral describes it as "c-di-GMP sequence". It matches the Rfam family "c-di-GMP-I riboswitch aptamer". Rfam says of the family: GEMM was predicted in a large-scale screen for bacterial structured RNA regulatory elements. Genes associated with GEMM are involved in a diverse array of functions, including chemotaxis regulation, signal transduction, secretion and chitin. RNAcentral also lists the same sequence under 1 other name. The record is from RNAcentral. Lineage: Bacteria; Bacillati; Actinomycetota; Actinomycetes; Micromonosporales; Micromonosporaceae.